GUGGCUUCCUGUUUGAAGGGCUCUCCGAUGAGGAGGAUGACUUUCACCCAGUAAGUGGCCCGGCUGCGUGCCAGUUGGGGGAGAUGGUGCCGGGGAUGCAGCCCUCCCUGGGACCCGGCAUGCCCCCUCAGGGAGGUGGUCCGAGGCCCUUUGGUGGCCCAGCUGUGUCCUGCUCUUGCUUUCUGAACCUGGCGGCUUGGGGAGUGUCCCCAAGAACGGUUCCUGGAACGGGCUGGGGUUCAUCUGGGCUGUCCCAGGGCUGCUCCCUGAUCUGGGUGCCUCCCUUGUCCAGAGUGCCAGGUCCACGCCCUCGAGCAGCACGUCCAGCUCCCGCCCAGCUUCCCUGGGGUACAGUGGAGCCGCCGGACCCCGGCCCAUCACUCAGAGCGAGCUGGCCACGGCCCUGGCCCUGGCCAGCACUCCGGAGAGCAGCUCUCACACGCCAACUCCUGGCACCCAGGGCCAUUCCUCUGGGACCUCCCCAAUGUCCUCAGGCGUCCAGUCAGGGACGCCCAUCACCAACGAUCUGUUCAGCCAAGCCCUACAGCAUGCGCUGCAGGCCUCCGGGCAGCCCAGCCUUCAGCUUCAUCUUCAAGACUCUCGUCCAGAUGCCUCAUCUGCAAAACCCACCAGCUUAA
This 638-nucleotide long non-coding RNA is filed under the name Sus scrofa (pig). RNAcentral's name for it is "lncRNA (ENSSSCG00030016985.1)". Lineage: Eukaryota; Metazoa; Chordata; Mammalia; Artiodactyla; Suidae. The record is from RNAcentral.